GCGCCUCGUGAAUUCAUCUCCGGGGGUAGAGCACUGUUUCGGCUAGGGGGCCAUCCCGGCUUACCAACCCGAUGCAAACUGCGAAUACCGGAGAAUGUUAUCACGGGAGACACACGGCGGGUGCUAACGUCCGUCGUGAAGAGGGAAACAACCCAGACCGCCAGCUAAGGUCCCAAAGUCAUGGUUAAGUGGGAAACGAUGUGGGAAGGCCCAGACAGCCAGGAUGUUGGCUUAGAAGCAGCCAUCAUUUAAAGAAAGCGUAAUAGCUCACUGGUCGAGUCGGCCUGCGCGGAAGAUGUAACGGGGCUAAACCAUGCACCGAAGCUGCGGCAGCGAACGUAUCACCCAAGACAACUUUACGGAGUUGACGAUUGACGGAGCGAAGCGACGUCAAAGCGUUCAUUAAAGUCGAGUUGGCUUAGGGAUACGUUCGUUGGGUAGGGGAGCGUUCUGUAAGCCUGUGAAGGUGUGUCGUGAGGCAUGCUGGAGGUAUCAGAAGUGCGAAUGCUGACA
Molecule: ribosomal RNA, 513 nt
Filed under: Salmonella enterica subsp. enterica serovar Typhimurium
Lineage: Bacteria; Pseudomonadati; Pseudomonadota; Gammaproteobacteria; Enterobacterales; Enterobacteriaceae
Description: partial 23S ribosomal RNA
Rfam family: Bacterial large subunit ribosomal RNA
Source: RNAcentral